GAGUUACUCGUGCCCCUGUGCAGUCGAUUUUGACCAAGUGAAUUCUGAUCGUGUUCAGUCCUGCUCAUGGCACACAACAGGCUCAUUAAUUUCUGUUGCUUGUUUUCGCUUAUCUGUUUUGGACAACUGACUAGACAACCAAUCACAGUGUAAUGUUUGUGACCUAGAUCUUUACAGUGAGGGUAGCAGUUGCGGGGUUUCUCAUUCGUUAACAGUACGUAAUGAUGACAAAGGGGGAUCAGUGAUCCGCCUCUGCACACUACGCAUUCAGCCGUGUGGGAGAGGAAGACAGAACUGAGAAAUGGGUCACUGACCCCGCGAGUGAACGUGUUCUGAUCGGAAGUCUAUCAUCCUUAGCCUGAAAAUCGGCCUAUGUGAUCGUGGACAGUUGAGUGUAUAUUGGCCGCAGAAACGUGAGGAAUUCCGAGAGACAAUAUAGCUUUGCUGGUGUUAUUCCUGCGUUGCAGGAAUUGGAGUGGAUUGUUAGACAUUCAAGUCUGUAGUGGGAAAGGCUGUGCUUCAUUUAUUAAUUGCAAUAGAAUUCUUUGUGGAUAAACAACUGAAUUUUAUACCUGGGGAUAGUGCCUUCCAGCUC
This is an RNA transcript of Rhincodon typus (whale shark), 595 nucleotides long. It is a transcript of the gene named probable JmjC domain-containing histone demethylation protein 2C, with no coding region annotated. The transcript is spliced from 3 exons. The record is from RefSeq and is a predicted model, not a curated record. NCBI's taxonomy places the organism in Eukaryota, Metazoa, Chordata, Chondrichthyes, Orectolobiformes, Rhincodontidae.